RNAcentral lists this ribosomal RNA (139 nucleotides) under uncultured bacterium. RNAcentral's name for it is "partial 16S ribosomal RNA". It matches the Rfam family "Bacterial small subunit ribosomal RNA", at positions 355 to 509 of the family's 1533-position model. The record is from RNAcentral.
UGGGGAAUAUUGCACAAUGGGGGAAACCCUGAUGCAGCGACGCCGCGUGGGUGAAGAAGUAUUUCGGUAUGUAAAGCCCUAUCAGCAGGGAAGAAAAUGACGGUACCUGAUCCAAGAAGCCCCGGCUAACUACGUCGCC